Non-coding RNA from Macaca mulatta (Rhesus monkey), 7191 nucleotides. NCBI's taxonomy places the organism in Eukaryota, Metazoa, Chordata, Mammalia, Primates, Cercopithecidae. The record is from RefSeq and is a predicted model, not a curated record.
AAAAAUUAUAAGUAAAAUAGAAAUUUAUUUCUCAUGGUUCUAGAGGCUGGAAAAUUCAAGAUCAAGAUGCAGACAGGUUUAGUGUCUGCUGAGGGCUGCUUUCUAUGCUUCAAGAUGGCACCACAUUGCUGUGUUCUUAUAUGGUGGAGGCAAGUGUGUUGAAUAUUCUAAGAAGAAUUGGAAGGUGUUAUCGUAUUAUGGAAGACAGAUCCAAGAUGGUGGCAGUGGUUAAGAAGGAUGCGGGAAGCACCCUUCAACUCUAAUGUUAUUUGAGCUGCUCACUGAAAAGUCAAUAGGACUCUCCCAGUUGGGGAAGAGGGAAAGGUUUUUCGGGAGCAGAUUCGACAAGUAACAUUGAGAACACAAAGUGUAUUUCUCCAUAGAUGGUAACACUAGGUGUUGAGGAGACAUAACCAAGUUCUCCUGCAGUUUGUGUGUUCAGGCAGAUGGAAAUGUCUUGUAACUCAGUAAAACAGUUUAGAAAUUUAAGGCCUUUGGAGAGAGUAAGUAUUGAGAAGGCACAUCUUCUACAUUGUUGACAUGAAGGAGUUGCAGGGUUGGGUAGAGGGGAUCAGUGGCACGUCUAGUGGGCUUCGUUUGUAAGGCCUGAUUUCUAACAGAUCAUGCUGUAAGCUUCAAAUGGGAGGUGUGCCUGGGAUGGUUGCAGAGGAGUGGUUAAGAGCUCAGACUCCAGAGUUUAGAUAGCACCAAGCUGCCACACAGGACACUGUGCAUUUCUAAAUCUGAGUUUCUGCACAUGUAAGGAGGAGUAAUAUGGUAUCUCCUCAUUCAGUUGAGAUGCUCUGGAGUACACAUGCAAGACACUCAACUCACGGUGGCUCCACCAGUGUGAAAAUGUGUUAUCUCCCCUAAUCUGAAGUACAGAAGUCAGGUGGUCAGAGGUGACAUGCCAUGGUGUGGCUCUGCUUCUCUGAGAUUCUCUAUCAACUUUUCCCUCAGUUUCACCCUCCUUUCUCCCUGUUUGAAGAUGGUUUCAGCACUUCCAGACAUCAUAACCAGACAGCCUGUUGCUAGAGAAGAAAGACACCUUCUCUUCCUAUAUGUACCUCUUAGGAACAAGAGAACCUUUUCUCACGGCCCCUCAACACACUUAGGCUGACAUCCCAUUGGCCAGAACUGUAUCAAAUCUAAGUAGCCUCAAAUGAAGCAUCUGGGAGCACCAGGACUGGGUCUUUAGGCCAUGGAAGAGUAACAGCCCAGUACACAGCUGUCUCCAGUGGCCAGCACGUAGACCUUUCCUCACACUUUCCACUGUUUGCAUCCACCCUUCCCUCACAUGUGUUUCUAUUACAUGGAGUCUCACUUUAUAGUCCUCAUUGAGAGACUAUGGUGUGGUAGACAGAUACCAACUUUAACCUCAGACAAUUGGGUUUUGGAUUUAGGUUACCACCAUUUAUCUUCUCUGUAACCUCAGACGAGUUGCUUGAGCUCUCUGAGUCUCAGCUUACCAAGCUCUAAAAUGGGCAUAACCAUAUCAGUUUGUUUUUCCUGUUACAGGGACAACAGACUGAGAUAACUAAAGUACCUGAUUGAGUAACUGCUCUCUGAAGGUGGAGGCUGGACUGCUUCACUGGACGGGGUGUCCUGGGGUUAUUUUAGUGCCGUGGUAGUUGGUGACAAAACUGAAAGAAGAUGUAACUAGAGAAAAGGUACUCAAUACAGGCUCUAUGAGCUACCACCACUGCCUCUAGUUUUCUAGAAAACCACCACCAGCCACUCUCUGUACAAAUGCGCUCAAGUGACCAUAACCACCAGUGUUUGUAACAAUGCGCCUAUUGACUUCUUAUUUCAAUAGAUAUCCAGAUUUAUUAUCCCUCAAGGUAAGCAUCGAUUUUACCUUUGUCUCAGUCAAUAUUUACCUCUGAGGUCAAUACGUGUGGAUAUUCACCUCAGCUGCAGUCAAUAUCCAUUUCGUAUUACAAUAUAUGAUGUGCAUAUGUGAAAAUAAAGAACAGCACGGUACAAAAAAGGUCUGCUAGUCAAGGAAGCUUUUUGCAAAGCGGAUGUGUUUUUCUAUUUGUUUGUUUGUUUGUUUUUACUGUAUCACUCUUUGGAGGUCAGGUUCUAUUUCAUUAAAUAGGACAUAUGUGUCUUCUGCCAAGAUGCGGAAUUUUGGGAAGGCUAGCGUGAUAACAAAUAAACAUUCAAGCAGCCACUUAAUGAUAUUGAGUUGAACACAAUUUCUCAGAAGUCUCUGCAUUAAAUUACAGCUGUAAGAACAUACGCAAGCAGCACAUUCCAAGUGUGAUGAGAAUGGAAACAUUCCAUAGGACACAGAGUUAUUCCUCAAGCCCCUGGACUCGCAGAGAAUCAGGUGUAUGAAGCAAGCGGAAAAAGACAAGAAUCAGGAAGCAAAGAGAAGGAGGAAGAAGCAUCAGUGGAGUUGCUUCUUUUUAAUUUUUAAAACCAGAGCUGGAAGACAAGGCCUGGCAUACAUCCACCAUCAUCGAUGACCUGGGCUCCUCUUCUCUUUCUGCUUUGUGACAUUGCUUCCAUCUUCAUGGUAACUCGCUGUCCAGAAUGACCACAGGCAGCAUGAAAACAAAAAGGUCGAGAGGGCACUAACUUCCUCGCUUUUGAAGAGCUUUCUAAGAAGCCACACCCAACGCUACUGCUUCUCUCCCAGUGGUGAUGAUUUAGUUGCUUGAGCACAGAUAACUGCCAGGGAGGCUGGGAAGUGCAGCCUUCAGUCCUAGCACCAAUGUGUCUAGGCAAAUAUAAAAGCUCUGUAGCGAAGGAAGAAGUGACAACGAAUAUUUGCAAACCAGGUGUCAUUGCCCUCCCCACCCUACCUUGUUCCCCUGGAGUGUAUCCUGAUUCUGUUGAGGAUCACUUGAUCCUGAUUUUAUUUAUAUAUAGACAUAGAUAUAGGUAGAUAGAUAGAUAGAUAGAUAGAUAGAUAGAUAGAUAGAUAGAUAUGUAGAUAUAUAUAGAGAGAUAUAGAUAGAUAGAUAGAUAGAUAGAUAGAUAGAUAGAUAUGUAGAUAUAUAUAUAGAUAGAUGAGAUUUCGUUAUAUUGCCCAGACUGGUCUCAAACUCCUGGCCUCAAGCAGUGCAGCCACCUCGGCCUCCCAAAGCGCUGGGAUUAUAGGCUUGAACACCAUGCCUGGCUUUGAUACUGAUAUUUUAUUGUUGUAACUCACAGUUUUGUCUGCCCAGCAUUGUCCCCCCAUCACACUUGUACUAUCCCAUUUUCCUUUGCCAUGCACCUGUCUUCCUCUUCAGUUUUGAUCACAAAAUCACAAUUCCUGACAGCCAUAGAGGUGGGCACAUGACUCAGGUCAGACCAGUCACAGUUCUUGACUCCCGGCCACAGUGCUUGAUGGGAGAAUGAGCAUAUAUGAAACCAAGACAGUCCAAGUUCUUCUGGGAACUUUGCUGCCACAGUUGUUGGGGGAGGUAUUUGCAUAACUUCACCACACACAGCUAAGCUGGGGAUCCUGCUGCUUGGCAGCAUCUUCCCAGCGUACAACAGAGGAAAACUGCCUGUUGCAGAAGAAAAAAAAAUGGGACUGAUACACAAAGAGAAUCAGAAAGGAGCAGAGAUGAAACAAAGACAGAGCCAGCAGGAGUGCAAGCUAAGGACAUACCAGGAGCUCCUGGGUCAGCUGGCCCAUACAUUUGUAAGCUGUAGACAAACAAAAAUUAUCUUUGGGUUCCUUCUUUAGCGAUUGGAGUUGGAGGAGGAUGACCUUAGUUUGUGUCUUUGUCGCACUGUCAUUAUAUCCAGCUUGUGUAAUCAGAAACACUAUUUAAGUCUCAGUUUCGCUGGGCACAGUGGCUCAUGCCUGUAAUCCCAGCACUUUGGGAGGCCGAGGCAGGUGGAUCACGAGGUCAGGAGAUCGAGACCAUCCUGGCUAACAUGGUGAAACCCCGUCUCUAUGAAAAAUGUAAAAAAUUAGCCGGGCGUAGUGGUGGGCGCCUGUAGUCCCAGCUACUCGGGAGACUGAGGCAGGAGAAUGGCGCGAACCCAGGAGGCGGAGCUUGCAGUGAGCCGUGAUUGCACCACUGCACUCCAGCCUGGGUGACAGAGCAAGACUCCGUCUCAAAAAAAAAAAAAAAAAAAAAAAAAGUCUCAGUUUCGUCUCCUGUCAAUUGGGAAAAUAUCGUGAGGCUGAGAUGUGAUCAUGUUUGUAAAGUCCGCAGCAGGAGCGUGAUAAAGUCACUUCUCAACUCCUUCUCCUGGCUUAUUAAUGUCCAUCCUUUAACCUGUCCUCUGCUUUGUCUCUUGGAAUCCUUAGGGCCUUUUUAACCCCAUCUAUGAAGCAAACCUACGUGUAUGUGUGUGUGUGUGUACAUCAAUUCAUAUGGUCCUCUGCAGCCUUGCAAAGUCGAUUCCUGACAUUUCCCUAGACUGUUUUUUUUUUUUUUCCAGCAAUACUCUCCAGCAGCAAAACCCGAUCCACUCAUAUUUUUGCAUUUGCUGCAGCAAAGCCUGACGUCUCUUUGUGUUACCUGACUCUGGACAAAGAAGGCCGAGGAAGGUCCCCCGCAAGUUGUCCUGUUGUCUCUUGGCUGGUCUUGCCAGCUGGCACACGGCUUGCUCUGACCACCCUGCAAGAUAGAUUCUGGCUAUGUCACCCAAGGUCUAGCACAGUGGCAUGAUUUCGGCUCACUGCAGCUUCCUCCUCUCAGGCUCAAGAGAUCUUCUUGCCUUAGCCCUCCAGAUUGCUGCAAGGCCCGCUUCUCAAGAAAGCAACUUGUGCUACCUCCUGCGUGCUUUUAUGCUUCACUGUGAAGUGCAAAGUUGGGCUGGCAGGCCUGGCUUUCUUCUCCGCUUUAUGUAUGAUUCAUCAAGAGGACUGCAGGCUUUGGUUUUUCAUUGCUGAGAACAGUUCCAGCUCUGCUGACCAAAGGGCUGAGCGUCCUUUUGUUAGUCUGACCCCGUAGGGAGCCCAAAGAGGCAACCCUCCGGCCAACUGACAGCCAGCUGUGGGGUUGGACACCCUGUUUUCCACACCACUGAGCACUCUUGAACCCAGAGAAGGUGCAGGCACAAAAAUGCUGUUUGAUUGGGAGAGCAAGUGGAGCUGUUAAAAGUUCUAGGGACGGUCGGGCAUGGUGGCUCAUGUCUGUAAUCCCAGCACUUUGGGAGGCUGAGGCAGGUGGAUCACAAGAUGCCUGGUUGUCCCGUUAAUCCGUUGUCCAAAAAGCCUGAGGAAGGAUGGCAGGUGGACUUGGAUCUCGGCCACUACCUUAGAUCCUGAUCAGGGGACCUCUGCGACUGCUCACCUGGGAGGAACUCCAGGAGCUCUGAUGUGUUGUCCUUGACUGGGCAAGAAGGGGAGGAGAAUUGUGAAACAUGCAGAAUUAGAAGUCAUGCACCUGGGUUUGUAUCCUGGCUGUGCCACUUAUUUUCUGGUGGGUGGAGAGGGCAGACAAGUUGCUCAUCCUCUGUACACCUCAGUUUCUUCAUGUGCAAAAUGAAGAUGUUAGUUGUUUCUUUAUUCAAGGGUUGUUGAGAGGACGAAGUGCUAAAAAUGCUUGAACAGCAUUUGCACAGGCAGUAACACAGGAAGUGCUCCCUACUUAGCGUGGACAACAUCAUCUCCGUCCACAUCAGUGUUAUCAUCGUCGUCAUGAAAAGCCCUGGCCAUCAUUUUGCCUUUGACCCGGAUGUCCAUGUUGGAAAAACAGCUAGUGGAAGGCAUGCCCAAAUCUCAGAAGUUGGCCUUUCCGUGCAGAUGUCAUUGGUGGCCAUUGUAGGGGAAAAAGAUGCUUUGGAAACCCGGACACAGAGAAAAGUACCUCGUAUUACACAGAGUCAAGAGAGGUCACUGUGGAAGUACAGAAGAAGCCUUGGCCUAAUUGCACGGAUAAUACAAUUCCGUAACUCAUCCUGCCAACACGAAGGUAGAUGGACGAUCCCUAUCCUCGCUGUGGAACAUUGCCCGUGUUUUCCUAGGAGAGACAUCUGCACUCCAGUAGUGAUUAAAAUGCCUUUGACAGGCUCUUGCUAUUAAGAGUUUCUGGCUCCAGUUUAAUAAAAGGUAGUAUAUUAUAAUGGAAACCAGGUUAUUAUUGAUAAGGACUAGACAUAUUAUAAACCAGGUUAAAGCUUUGAUAAUCCCACAUGCAAGGGGAGGGAGCUAAGGGUUAUUGCAAACCUACUAUGUGUCAAUUGCUCUAGUAGACACCUCAGAGACAUUACAGCCAAAGAGUCCCACCUUUGGAUAAACCCAGUUUGGCCUCUCUGAUAUAUUAAUAUAUUUAAUCAUCAGACUUUCAGUGUUAAAGGAGAUUACAGUAGAGGCGUCCAGUUGAUUGGGGAAUAGUUGCUGCGAAUGAUAAGCUCUUUUGAAUAAACCGAUACUGACUUAAUGAGGUUCUGCUGUGUAUUAUCUUUUUUUCCUAAUAGAAAAUAGAGUGGCUACCCUCCCCAUCCGCUGUUUGCUUCCUGGUAAUGACCCUCUUUUCUCUCACUCCAUGGGAACUUUUAAAAUUGAUAAGUAAUGGAUUUUUAGCCUCAAGUUUCUGGAAUUCUAAGAGGGCCUGAAAGGUAAGUGCUCACUUACCGAGAUGUGUGAACAAAAACAGGCAGCCUAGCUCAGCAAGUAAGAAUGGAGUGGCAUCUCCCCGCCUGCUCUGGAGUCAUGCGUUUGCUUCUGGAAGGGCAUCAAGAGGCAUUCAACCUCCUGUUAAUUUGGUUGCUUCUUCAGAUACCCUCUUCAUGGUGCAGCCCUGAGCUGGAACAUUUAAAGACCAGUUGUUAAGGACCAAUCUGAGAGCCUGUGCAUUGGUUAAAACUCCUUAUCUGGCCAUAGAGGGUGGUGUGGUUUGGACGCGUUCCCCUUGUCUGUCCAAUUCCCAACAGAGGCAAGUGCACAUCUGAGACAGGUUGAGGGUUCAAGCUGUCCAAUCCCUGCUCAUCUGCAGCACACCCAGGAACGUGGACUAAUGAAAAAUAAAUUGCACGCCUGACAUGCCCAUCACGCUGCCCGCAUUUUCUAAUCAUCACAAUAACUCUGUGGUGAGAAAUAUUUCUGCCUGUAAUCCCGGCACUUUGGGAGGCUGAAGUGGGCGGAUCACUGGAGGUCAGGAGUUCGAGACCAGCCUGGCCAACAUGGUGAACUCCCCGCCACCAACGCCCCUCCCCAUCAUCUCUACUAAAAAUACAAAAAAUAGCUGGGCAUGGUGGAGGGCACUUAUAAUCCCAGCUACUUGGGAGGCU